RNAcentral lists this ribosomal RNA (530 nucleotides) under uncultured bacterium. RNAcentral describes it as "bacterial SSU rRNA". It matches the Rfam family "Bacterial small subunit ribosomal RNA", at positions 979 to 1509 of the family's 1533-position model. The record is from RNAcentral.
CCUUGACAUACUAAGAACUUUCCAGAGAUGGAUUGGUGCCUUCGGGAACUUAGAUACAGGUGCUGCAUGGCUGUCGUCAGCUCGUGUCGUGAGAUGUUGGGUUAAGUCCCGCAACGAGCGCAACCCUUUUCCUAUUUGCCAGCGGGUCAUGCCGGGAACUUUAAGGAUACUGCCAGUGACAAACUGGAGGAAGGCGGGGACGACGUCAAGUCAUCAUGGCCCUUACGGCCAGGGCUACACACGUGCUGCAAUGGUCGGUACAAAGGGUUGCUACCUCGCGAGAGGAUGCUAAUCUCAAAAAGCCGAUCGUAGUCCGGAUCGCAGUCUGCAACUCGACUGCGUGAAGUCGGAAUCGCUAGUAAUCGCGGAUCAGAAUGCCGCGGUGAAUACGUUCCCGGGCCUUGUACACACCGCCCGUCACACCAUGGGAGUUUGUUGCACCAGAAGUAGGUAGUCUAACCGCAAGGAGGACGCUUACCACGGUGUGGCCGAUGACUGGGGUGAAGUCGUAACAAGGUAAGCGUAGAUGA